RNAcentral lists this ribosomal RNA (486 nucleotides) under uncultured bacterium. RNAcentral's name for it is "bacterial SSU rRNA". It matches the Rfam family "Bacterial small subunit ribosomal RNA", at positions 29 to 489 of the family's 1533-position model. The record is from RNAcentral.
AACGAACGCUGGCGGCGUGGAUAAGACAUGCAAGUCGAACGGGACUAAAUCUGUAGCAAUACAGGUUUAGUUUAGUGGCGAACGGGUGCGUAACACGUGGGCAAUCUGCCGAGAAGUGGGGGAUAGCUCGCCGAAAGGCGAAUUAAUACCGCAUAUGAUCAGCUAAGACAUCUUAGCGACAUCAAAGCCGGGGAUCGAAAGACCUGGCGCUUCUUGAUGAGCCCGCGGCCUAUCAGCUAGUUGGUGAGGUAACGGCUCACCAAGGCUAUGACGGGUAGCUGGUCUGAGAGGACGACCAGUCACACUGGAACUGAGACACGGUCCAGACACCUACGGGUGGCAGCAGUCGAGAAUUUUUCUCAAUGGGGCAACCCUGAAGGAGCGACGCCGCGUGGAGGAUGAAGGCUUUCGGGUUGUAAACUCCUGUCAUUUGAGAACAAGGUGCAUCGGUUAACUGCCGGUGCAUUGAUAGUAUCAGAAGAGGAA